This 22-nucleotide microRNA is filed under the name Anopheles gambiae (African malaria mosquito). Its description in RNAcentral is "aga-miR-10377b-3p". Lineage: Eukaryota; Metazoa; Arthropoda; Insecta; Diptera; Culicidae. The record is from miRBase by way of RNAcentral.
UCAUCAUCAGUUUCUAAUUCCA